ACAUACUUUGUGUCAAAGUACGCAUGUUGAAGCUCUGAGUUGGAGUAUAAGGGUAGGUCAGCGUAGACCAAAUGUUCUAGUGCUAGGAAUACAAAAGACUCAGAAGAAGUUGUCUGAAUUCCCUCUUCUUUAAAUAUUUGCCGAAUGGCUUGUGUGACAAAAGAUCUCAAACGGUUGAGAGUCGAAACAUUUGUAAUGUGUAUGCCUUCUUAUAAUGGCAUUU
This 223-nucleotide long non-coding RNA is filed under the name Malus domestica (apple). RNAcentral's name for it is "long non-coding RNA (MDOM_LNC007954)". The record is from RNAcentral. Lineage: Eukaryota; Viridiplantae; Streptophyta; Magnoliopsida; Rosales; Rosaceae.